Pseudophryne corroboree (corroboree frog) is the source of this 427-nucleotide long non-coding RNA. RefSeq lists it as uncharacterized. NCBI's taxonomy places the organism in Eukaryota, Metazoa, Chordata, Amphibia, Anura, Myobatrachidae. The record is from RefSeq and is a predicted model, not a curated record. The transcript has 4 exons.
CAGCCUCUCUCCCCUCGUACUCCCCGCUCCCUUCCCAUGCUGCUGAUGGAAGAGCCACUGGUUGUCACUCUGGGGGAGGACCCAGCAGCAGCAGCAGAGGACUCAGGAACAGCAGCAGCAGAGGACUCAGGAACAGCAGAAACAGUUGAGGACCCAAGAACAGCAGAAGCAGUUGAGGACCCAGGAGUAUCAGCAGCAGCAGCAGCAGCUGAGGAUCCACUGGGAGCCUGACACAGUGACAGGAGGCAGCAGUAUGUGCUCGCAGUACUCCUGCAGUGCAUGGUGUAACCCAGCAGCCGGCUACCACCAGUACCAUGACUGAGGAUGAAGCACCACGCUAUUCUACUAAAGGACUUAUGUGGGAUCCGGAGAAAUCACCACAAUAUCUUUAUGUGAAGAGUCUCUCUACUGUGUAGCUAGCAGAUGG